UGAGAACUGCGCAGGUGCACCAGG
RNAcentral lists this unclassified non-coding RNA (24 nucleotides) under Mus musculus (house mouse). RNAcentral's name for it is "oocyte_clustered_small_RNA10117". The record is from RNAcentral. Lineage: Eukaryota; Metazoa; Chordata; Mammalia; Rodentia; Muridae.